GUUCUCGUGGUGCAAUAGGCAGACACGCGUGGUUUAGAACCAUGAUGUUGCGGGUUCGACUCCCGCCGGGAACA
Molecule: transfer RNA, 74 nt
Filed under: Caudoviricetes sp.
Lineage: Duplodnaviria; Heunggongvirae; Uroviricota; Caudoviricetes
Description: tRNA-Leu
Rfam family: tRNA
About the family: Transfer RNA (tRNA) molecules are approximately 80 nucleotides in length. Their secondary structure includes four short double-helical elements and three loops (D, anti-codon, and T loops).
Source: RNAcentral